Molecule: long non-coding RNA, 957 nt
Organism: Raphanus sativus (radish)
Lineage: Eukaryota; Viridiplantae; Streptophyta; Magnoliopsida; Brassicales; Brassicaceae
Exons: 3
Source: RefSeq, a predicted model, not a curated record
GGUAUUUAUCAAACAAUUUUUUUGGGUUUUUGAUUUGUUUUGCAUGUAAAAUCAGAUGCUUUUACGUUAUCGAUCCGACGAAAUCAAAGCCGAAAGAUUGAUCCUGGUGGAAAUCUUAUGUUCUUAUUGCGACGAUAUGGAAACGUGUUGGGAUGACUCCAAGUGAAUUACUAUUUUUUUUGAAAGUUUUGGAGUUCAAUGGACUACAUUACUUCAAAGGUUUUCUCAAGUGGACACAUACAUCCAUACAAAUGAAAGAAAAAAAAUCAUUAAACAUUGAUUAAGGAACUACCAAGUUUCGCGAUCCAAAGAGUGAAAAAGUCCAAACAGAAUGAAGAUACGUGUUUUAUAUCAACGUAAAGCUUGACAUGUUGUAUAUUGUUGUGACACUUAUAAAAUUAUAUAAACAUAAAGUUUAAUAUGUUUUAUAUUCUUCAGGAAUUGCCAAGUAAUAGGAUUCAAGCUGUUACAUGCAUCAAUAGACUUAGGAGAUAAGUGUUUUACUCAAUAAAAUUUACAAUUUAAAUAUCUGUUUAUUGUUAUUCCUUGAAAACAAAUAUAAUGAAUCUAAUGUACGUGCAACAAAUGGAUUCUAACUUUUUUUUUUUUGCAGUUACGAUACAUACUGGAAAAAAAAUAAUAGAGAUGAGGAGAUAUAGAGAUGCAUGAGACAUGAUCCAAAAGAAAUCAUGGUAAUGUAUUACUACUCAAUUCUAAUUACUGUAGUACUGUAUUUGGAGGGAACUGAUUUUUGGAUUGCUAUUUAUCACAAUACAUGUUAUUUAGGUAUUAUAUAGUAGAAUGCAAACCUCUGUGGAACUCAAAAGCUCAGAAAUUGAUUUUUUUUCUUCAUAUUCUUUCCAAUUGUCCAGUUUGUUUUGAGCAUCAUUGUGUUCGCUGGAGUCACUUUUUCACAGAAGGACGAUAGAUUUUUCUUGGAAAACGUUUUAUGAGAAU